AUGGCAUCAUACAUGAAGAACACUGCUAAAAGACCACUGGGAACCAGCAAGGCUUUCACAUGCCUGUGGCUGGUGAUGCUGGUUGUCCUGUCAUCUGAAAAAAUGGCGUCGCAUGGCUGCGAAAAGCAAAAUAGCACAACGUGGGACGGAACGCCAUGCAUCCGGAGAGGCAAAUGCAACAAGCCCUGCAGGGCCGAGGGCUUCGACAACGGCCAUUGUGACAACCUCUUUACAUGCAUCUGCUACAGAAACUGCACCAACCUAUCAUUUAGCCAUAUGUAUAUGCCACUCCAUGCAUGA
This 300-nucleotide ribosomal RNA is filed under the name Triticum aestivum (bread wheat). Its description in RNAcentral is "partial small subunit ribosomal RNA". Lineage: Eukaryota; Viridiplantae; Streptophyta; Magnoliopsida; Poales; Poaceae. The record is from RNAcentral.